GAUGAACGCUGGCGGCGUGCCUAAUACAUGCAAGUCGAGCGAACAGACGAGGAGCUUGCUCCUCUGACGUUAGCGGCGGACGGGUGAGUAACACGUGGAUAACCUACCUAUAAGACUGGGAUAACUUCGGGAAACCGGAGCUAAUACCGGAUAAUAUAUUGAACCGCAUGGUUCAAUAGUGAAAGACGGUUUUGCUGUCACUUAUAGAUGGAUCCGCGCCGCAUUAGCUAGUUGGUAAGGUAACAGCUUACCAAGGCAACGAUGCGUAGCCGACCUGAGAGGGUGAUCGGCCACACUGGAACUGAGACACGGUCCAGACUCCUACGGGAGGCAGCAGUAGGAAAUCUUCCGCAAUGGGCGAGAGCCUGACGGAGCAACGCCGCGUGAGUGAUGAAGGUCUUCGGAUCGUAAAACUCUGUUAUUAGGGAAGAACAAAUGUGUAAGUAACUAUGCACGUCUUGACGGUACCUAAUCAGAAAGCCACGGCUAACUACGUG
Molecule: ribosomal RNA, 497 nt
Filed under: uncultured bacterium
Lineage: Bacteria
Description: partial 16S ribosomal RNA
Rfam family: Bacterial small subunit ribosomal RNA
Source: RNAcentral